Molecule: long non-coding RNA, 1182 nt
Organism: Micropterus salmoides (largemouth bass)
Lineage: Eukaryota; Metazoa; Chordata; Actinopteri; Centrarchiformes; Centrarchidae
Exons: 3
Source: RefSeq, a predicted model, not a curated record
AAUUCGACCCGAGGAGUCGAGGAGGUGUAUAAUUUGGUAAAUGAGAAAGGCCCUUAGCGACAACAGGGAUGCGUUCCCUGAAACUGUCGCGGACCUGCUCGCCUCAAACACACGCCGCCGCCGCUGAAGUUGAAUUGUUUUGAACUUUUUGUACGCGACGCGCAGCACAGCAUUGGAAGAGAGACUGAUCCCCACUGUUUGUGAGUGACAUUGAGUUUUUCCCUAGAAUACAUUGCGCUCAAGAGGGACUGUGUCCUCAGAAGCCUGUGUGUUUACCUCAGUGAGGACAGCAACAUUCUCAUCAAGGAGUACUUGGAUGUCAACAGUGAAGAAGGUAAGAGAGAGACCAUACAGACCACCAUGGGGCUAAACAUGAUUUGCAGAAGUAGAAGACAAGCCAGCGGAUGUUGGAGUGGUGGUCGAGGGUGUGGAACUGCUAAGUGAACUAGGAAGUAUUUCCUUUGGUUGUGACAUGCUGUUUGGCCUGAUCUACACUCUCAACCUGAACUAUCCACAAAUGUAAAUUUGAGUUCUUCCAGAAGGUUUUAAUGCACUUGGAUGGCUACAAACUGUCCCCAAAGGUGGAAACAUUAAAAUUAAGAAGCUUCAGUGAGCUCUUAAGUGCAAUGCUGGAAAGUUUGGCUAGCCACAUUUUGGCUUAAUGGACUUUACCAUUGUUCACGUGGUUUAAAAACACAAACAACAGAACAGCUUAUUGUUCUGAUUAUUUCUGGCAUCUUCUAUAGCCACUUUGUGUUAACUUGCUUAUUUUGCUGUUGGAGUGUAAUUUUUGCACUGAGAUUGCAUACUGUUAUACUAGAUAGAAAGAACCUUUUUUCCUGCAGGUAUUAAGGCCUUUUGCCCUUUUCAUUUGACACUUCUAUGUUAUCAUCACUAUCAGUAUUUGAUAAAAGAGUCUUUUGAAUGGCAAUCUAUGUUUUUUUAAGAUUAUUUUAAAAUGUAUUUUAAGUUACCAUAGUAGAAAUACUUAUUCCAGUGGAAAUAAUUUCUUUUCUUUAUUUUUUGGCCUUUAUAGUUUAUUAUACACUGGAAAACCUUGUGCCCUUGGUCGUUGUUUUUUUGCAAUAGCAGGUCUUGCUGCUGUAAUGUUAAAAUUACUAUUGGACUACCAUUGUUGUAAUGACUUAUAAUAGAUAUGCCAAUAAAAUUUCCAGAACAGUU